UUGACUGUUGACCUUCUGGUAGAUUUUGGGUUGGUCGCAUUGUACCCCCAGCAGCACAAGCCACUAUUAUCUUUGCCCCCUUAUCUAUCUUUGAUUCCACAGCUGAACGUUACCAUAUAUACCAAUCAUUAGUCAGUUUUGGUGUUCCUAAAGACAAGGCAAAGGUAAUAAGACUUUCUCAUACUCUGGAUGAACUCAGGGUUCUCUUCUGUGCCUGCAAAAAUGCCGAAAAAUGCAAACGCAGCGCGCCUGGCGAUAUCCCAAGCUGUCCACUCCUUUAUAAGCCUAUAGAUUUGCACAUUGACAGCAUUCGG
RNAcentral lists this long non-coding RNA (314 nucleotides) under Fragaria vesca (wild strawberry). RNAcentral's name for it is "long non-coding RNA (FVES_LNC003894)". The record is from RNAcentral. Lineage: Eukaryota; Viridiplantae; Streptophyta; Magnoliopsida; Rosales; Rosaceae.